UCCACCUUUGGCAUUGACACCCACCACUCCAUGUUCUUGUUUGUUAAUUAGUGAAUCUCACAGCAAGAACAAGAAUGGAGGGAAUAAUAAGUGAAAGAGCAGAAACAGAUGGAGUAAUAUGUAUAUUGAAAGAGGGGGCUAGCACUAUAUAUAUUUAUAGAAAAGCAUCAGUACUAACAGCUAACACCCACUACUAAUAAACUCUUGUAACUAAGUUGCUCUUCUUAACAUUGUUUACCUUGCUUCAAUUUGACCAUACUAGCAUCAACAAUUUGACCACUCAUUGACACCCAUUUACUGGCUUCAAUUUGACCAUACUAGCAUCACAAAUAGGUGUACUCUAGUUUCUCUUCUUAACAUCAUUUACCUUGCUGCGAGUAUAUGAAUUUUCAUAAUAUAAUAACUGCUUAAGUUGUAAAACAUCUCUACCCACCUCGUACUUUUGUCUGUCC
This 452-nucleotide long non-coding RNA is filed under the name Arachis ipaensis. RNAcentral describes it as "long non-coding RNA (AIPA_LNC001754)". The record is from RNAcentral. Lineage: Eukaryota; Viridiplantae; Streptophyta; Magnoliopsida; Fabales; Fabaceae.